Molecule: long non-coding RNA, 1534 nt
Filed under: Ananas comosus (pineapple)
Lineage: Eukaryota; Viridiplantae; Streptophyta; Magnoliopsida; Poales; Bromeliaceae
Description: long non-coding RNA (ACOM_LNC012203)
Source: RNAcentral
AAAUAAUUGUUGGUUCAAAGCUUGUCUACCAUUCAAUUAUGACUAACUUUGAUGUGUUUUCACUAAGUGUAGGUUCAAGUUUUAAUACACCUACACCUAUGCAUACGGUUUUGUCAAGUUGUCAAGAAUUUCGAUUUUGAUUUUUGAUUUUGUUUUAUUUUGCAUUNUUGUCUACCAUUCAAUUAUGACUAACUUUGAUGUGUUUUCACUAAGUGUAGGUUCAAGUUUUAAUACACCUACACCUAUGCAUACGAUUUUGUCAAGUUGUCAAGAAUUUCGAUUUUGAUUUUUGAUUUUGUUUUAUUUUGCAUUUUGAUGUAUUUUUAUGUAUUUUAAAAAUUGGUGGGGAAUUGUAAGGAAAUUUUUAAAAUAAUAUAUUUUGUUUAUUGAUUUUUAGUGAAUGGAUGUGAUUCUUCGUGAAAGGAUGCAACCCAUAGUGAAUGGAUGCAACUCUUAAUGAAUGGAUGCAACCCUUAGUGAGUAGAUACAACUCUAAUCAAAGAGUGUGACUCUUAGAGUGAAAGGAUGUGAUUUUUAGUGAAAGGAUAUGAGAUGAAAAGACACAUCUUUAUAGUGUGUCUUUUCGUAUAUACGUCCGUUGGAAUUAAUUCUUAUAUUCAUUGAACUUGACUCAUAAAACGAAUUGGUAGUUAUGAUAAAAUAAAAAGUCACAAUUGAAGAGCCACUUCAUGAAACACCCGUUCAUGAAUAGUCACUUCAUGAAGCACCCGUUCGUGGUCUAUAUAAGUCCACAACGUUGGUUGCAGAAAGAAGAUAGAAAAACAGUUGAAGAGUUUAAGUCUCCAUUCACAAUAAUUAUAUUCUUGUUUUCUUAUUCUAUUUCUUUUGACAACUUAAUCAAAUGAGUGCUCAAAGGCUCGACUUCGUGUGUGCAAACGCAGUUGAGGUUUAUGCUUCAUUGUAUCCUGGGAGGCUGUUCGUUGACCCGGUACACACCAAAUUGUUAGAACGGUGGGGACGGAUUAAGCCUUAAGGAAAGUGGCAUUGCUACACGCUUUGAAGCCUUUUUCAUCUUUCUAUUUCAUACAUUUAUCACUAUCUGUUCACCUACCACCAUCAUCUCAACCCUAUAUCUCUUCAUCCAAUGAUUAAAAACUCAAAAGCAUCACUCCUUUGGUGCUUUUGAGAGUAUUCUAGCUCAACUAUAUAUACAGCAGGACUGCUGUGCUCUUAAGAGCACGGAGGCCUCCGUGCUCCUAAGCCGUUUUCGAUGAGGGAAUUUUCGAAUCGACGAUCGGCUCCGUUAGACUUGAUCUAGCGUAUUUGAAGUUUCUAGAAAAUAAUUUUUGUGAAUUUUUGAUAUCAUUUACCUAGUGAUCGAAAGGGUUCAAAAUCAAUAAUUUUUAAUGGUUGAUAUCUGCCAUUUUCAAGUUUAACAAUAUAAAAGUAUUCAAAUCAGAUGAAAUUUUGAUUAAAAUUUUUUAUACUAUCUACAACAAGAUCAAUAUUUCUGAUCGAAAAUUUUAGUGCUAUAUCACCACUUUUUAGGGGCCGUUUGGUUACAUGUAGUUGC